RNAcentral lists this ribosomal RNA (1504 nucleotides) under Staphylococcus aureus. RNAcentral describes it as "partial 23S ribosomal RNA". It matches the Rfam family "Bacterial large subunit ribosomal RNA", at positions 343 to 1851 of the family's 2925-position model. Lineage: Bacteria; Bacillati; Bacillota; Bacilli; Caryophanales; Staphylococcaceae. The record is from RNAcentral.
UGGAAAGAUGAAUCAAAGAAGGUAAUAAUCCUGUAGUCGAAAAUGUUGUCUCUCUUGAGUGGAUCCUGAGUACGACGGAGCACGUGAAAUUCCGUCGGAAUCUGGGAGGACCAUCUCCUAAGGCUAAAUACUCUCUAGUGACCGAUAGUGAACCAGUACCGUGAGGGAAAGGUGAAAAGCACCCCGGAAGGGGAGUGAAAUAGAACCUGAAACCGUGUGCUUACAAGUAGUCAGAGCCCGUUAAUGGGUGAUGGCGUGCCUUUUGUAGAAUGAACCGGCGAGUUACGAUUUGAUGCAAGGUUAAGCAGUAAAUGUGGAGCCGUAGCGAAAGCGAGUCUGAAUAGGGCGUUUAGUAUUUGGUCGUAGACCCGAAACCAGGUGAUCUACCCUUGGUCAGGUUGAAGUUCAGGUAACACUGAAUGGAGGACCGAACCGACUUACGUUGAAAAGUGAGCGGAUGAACUGAGGGUAGCGGAGAAAUUCCAAUCGAACCUGGAGAUAGCUGGUUCUCUCCGAAAUAGCUUUAGGGCUAGCCUCAAGUGAUGAUUAUUGGAGGUAGAGCACUGUUUGGACGAGGGGCCCCUCUCGGGUUACCGAAUUCAGACAAACUCCGAAUGCCAAUUAAUUUAACUUGGGAGUCAGAACAUGGGUGAUAAGGUCCGUGUUCGAAAGGGAAACAGCCCAGACCACCAGCUAAGGUCCCAAAAUAUAUGUUAAGUGGAAAAGGAUGUGGCGUUGCCCAGACAACUAGGAUGUUGGCUUAGAAGCAGCCAUCAUUUAAAGAGUGCGUAAUAGCUCACUAGUCGAGUGACACUGCGCCGAAAAUGUACCGGGGCUAAACAUAUUACCGAAGCUGUGGAUUGUCCUUUGGACAAUGGUAGGAGAGCGUUCUAAGGGCGUUGAAGCAUGAUCGUAAGGACAUGUGGAGCGCUUAGAAGUGAGAAUGCCGGUGUGAGUAGCGAAAGACGGGUGAGAAUCCCGUCCACCGAUUGACUAAGGUUUCCAGAGGAAGGCUCGUCCGCUCUGGGUUAGUCGGGUCCUAAGCUGAGGCCGACAGGCGUAGGCGAUGGAUAACAGGUUGAUAUUCCUGUACCACCUAUAAUCGUUUUAAUCGAUGGGGGGACGCAGUAGGAUAGGCGAAGCGUGCGAUUGGAUUGCACGUCUAAGCAGUAAGGCUGAGUAUUAGGCAAAUCCGGUACUCAUUAAGGCUGAGCUGUGAUGGGGAGAAGACAUUGUGUCUUCGAGUCGUUGAUUUCACACUGCCGAGAAAAGCCUCUAGAUAGAAAAUAGGUGCCCGUACCGCAAACCGACACAGGUAGUCAAGAUGAGAAUUCUAAGGUGAGCGAGCGAACUCUCGUUAAGGAACUCGGCAAAAUGACCCCGUAACUUCGGGAGAAGGGGUGCUCUUUAGGGUUAACGCCCAGAAGAGCCGCAGUGAAUAGGCCCAAGCGACUGUUUAUCAAAAACACAGGUCUCUGCUAAACCGUAAGGUGAUGUAUAGGGG